Camelus ferus (Wild Bactrian camel) is the source of this 72-nucleotide transfer RNA. It matches the Rfam family "tRNA". Rfam says of the family: Transfer RNA (tRNA) molecules are approximately 80 nucleotides in length. Their secondary structure includes four short double-helical elements and three loops (D, anti-codon, and T loops). The record is from Rfam. NCBI's taxonomy places the organism in Eukaryota, Metazoa, Chordata, Mammalia, Artiodactyla, Camelidae.
GAGGAUAUAGCUCAGCAGUAGAGUGCCUGCCUAGCAUGCACGAGGUCUUGGGUUCAAUCCCCAGUACCUCCA